UUUACAUUAAAAGGAUCGGUGUGAUAUACUUGCUUCAGUAAAUCUGAGCGCGCGACUUCGACAAUCGGUAACGCACCGUCAGUCGUCCACAAUGAUCGAAAUGUACUGGGUUUUCUCGACAUAAAAUCUGAACAGCGCGAUCGCGCUGCUUGGGACUCAAACGGUUAAGUAUCCGGGACAAUUGUAACUAGAUGACAGACGACGCGACUCGUGUCCUCGUCAUUCCGCGAUCCCCGUUUAGAUUUAUUGUAUCGUGCAUCGUUGAGGACAUCCUGCAGAUAGCGCGUGAACAGUCCUCAGUGUUAAAUCGUCGCGAGUCCGCGAGGAGUCGUCUGCUUUAAGCCCGAAAUACAACGAGUGCAACAUUCGUGUCUAACUUCGUUGCUAAAAGGAUCAUUAAGGACAAAAUUAGGAACGGUAAAAUAGGGGCGAACACGCAAGCCAAACCAGCUGAUUCUCGCGACGAACGUAAGAAAGAAAAAGUAACGAAAUGACGUCGGUGAGGUCGGCAUUAGGUCGCGAUAAUAACCGAUAUAUGAUUGGAUAUUUUUGUACAAAUACUGUAACGUAACGAAGGAGCCUAACAAAGUAAAUUAUAAUGUACUCACUACGCCGUAUUGUUCCAGAGUUAAGGGUGUAUAUUAAUCGUGUUACGAUAUCGCAUGCAUCGACGACAGGUAAACGAACGACACCUGAAGAGAACUUGCGUGAGAAAUUCUCGCUUAUCUCCAACAACAAAUCGUCAUUCUUUACGCCAGAAAGUCCACACGCUGCCUCUUCAACUCGCUCGAUCGGCCGGGAUUAUGUAACACACACGUACACACACACGCAAAAGCUGUGCGUUCAUAUUCGCCGUAGACCUAAAAGGAACGAAGUUGAGAACGGCGAAACAGCGAAAGACAGGUACAACAUAAGAGGCGGGUCAAAGGUCAAGAAGCACCGGGUGAAAUUUGCAGUAGGAUUUCUUCAUCGCGACCGGACAUGUUUAGGCGACUCGCCGCGAGAGCCGCCGCGGUAUCCGCGGUUGUGCAAAUAAUUUUGCAAUAACAUUAUACAAGAGUGCGCGCGUGCAAUAUGAAUUGAGAAAUAGCCAAAUUAAUACCUUUCACCGCGCCGGAUAACAUUAUACCUGCGUCCAGCGCGUCCGUACUACGUGCCGCUUGAUGAUGAUGAUGAUGAUAACAAUCAGGGAACAUAACGAGAACCGUCGUUGGACACCAU
Molecule: long non-coding RNA, 1221 nt
Organism: Harpegnathos saltator (Jerdon's jumping ant)
Lineage: Eukaryota; Metazoa; Arthropoda; Insecta; Hymenoptera; Formicidae
Exons: 2
Source: RefSeq, a predicted model, not a curated record